This 409-nucleotide ribosomal RNA is filed under the name uncultured bacterium. RNAcentral's name for it is "bacterial SSU rRNA". It matches the Rfam family "Bacterial small subunit ribosomal RNA", at positions 917 to 1322 of the family's 1533-position model. The record is from RNAcentral.
GGGCUCACACAAGCGGUGGAGGAUGUGGCUUAAUUCGAGGAUACGCGAAGAACCUUAUCCUGGUCUUGACAUGUUUAGGAACCUCGGUGAAAGUCGAGGGUGCCCUUCGGGGAGCCUUUACACAGGUGCUGCAUGGCCGUCGUCAGCUCGUGUCGUGAGAUGUCGGGUUAAGUCCCUUAACGAGCGAAACCCCUAUCCUUAGUUGCCAGCAAUUCGGUUGGGGACUCUAGGGAGACUGCCGGUGUUAAACCGGAGGAAGGUGGGGACGACGUCAGGUCAUCAUGGCCUUUAUGACCAGGGCUGCACACGUCCUACAAUGGUGCGUACAAAGGGAAGCUAAGCAGUGAUGUGGAGCAAAUCCCAGAAAACGCGCCUCAGUUCGGAUUGCAGGCUGCAACUCGCCUGCAUG